Molecule: ribosomal RNA, 253 nt
Filed under: uncultured bacterium
Lineage: Bacteria
Description: partial 16S ribosomal RNA
Rfam family: Bacterial small subunit ribosomal RNA
Source: RNAcentral
UACAGAGGGUGCGAGCGUUAAUCGGAAUGACUGGGCGUAAAGGGCGCGUAGGUGGUGAGAUAAGUUUUAGGCGAAAGGCUGGGGCUUAACCCUGGAGAGACCUAGGAGACUGUUUUACUAGAGUGAGGGAGAGGUAAGUGGAAUUUCCGGUGUAGCGGUGAAAUGCGUAGAGAUCGGAAGGAACAUCAGUGGCGAAGGCGACUUACUGGCCCAUCACUGACACUGAGGCGCGAGAGCAUGGGUAGCGAACAGG